This 253-nucleotide ribosomal RNA is filed under the name uncultured bacterium. RNAcentral describes it as "partial 16S ribosomal RNA". It matches the Rfam family "Bacterial small subunit ribosomal RNA", at positions 524 to 776 of the family's 1533-position model. The record is from RNAcentral.
UACGUAGGGUGCGAGCGUUAAUCGGAAUUACUGGGCGUAAAGCGUGCGCAGGCGGUUGUGCAAGACAGAUGUGAAAUCCCCGGGCUCAACCUGGGAACUGCAUUUGUGACUGCACGGCUGGAGUGCGGCAGAGGGGGAUGGAAUUCCGCGUGUAGCAGUGAAAUGCGUAGAUAUGCGGAGGAACACCGAUGGCGAAGGCAGGUCUCUGGGCUGACACUGACGCUCAUGCACGAAAGCGUGGGGAGCAAACAGG